This is a long non-coding RNA of Gallus gallus (chicken), 5354 nucleotides long. RefSeq lists it as uncharacterized. The transcript has 3 exons. NCBI's taxonomy places the organism in Eukaryota, Metazoa, Chordata, Aves, Galliformes, Phasianidae. The record is from RefSeq and is a predicted model, not a curated record.
GCUGCACGGCCGGGGAGCCCUUCGGUGUGCUCGAUUUGUGUUUCUUUGGACUAACAAAAGUGUAUUUUCCUCGGAAUUUCUGCCACCAAAUCGCCCCGUCUCCUCGGUGAGGGAAGAGAAGAGCAGCCUCUGCGGUGUCAACACUAAACAUGUGUAUGACAUGAAAACAUGUUUGUUUUCCUCAAAAUUGGGUUUCAUUGAGUACAAAAGUCAUGACUACCUGCUAUGAAGAUAAAAAAAAAAAAAAGAAAAACAAAACAAAACAAUUUACAUCCUAGAAGAGGAAAAUAUAAGGCAAAGCGUUGCAGGAAAAGUGCAUCUGAGCUGUGUGGUGCUACAACAGGAAGAUGAUGGAGAGAAGGGCAAAUCCAACUGGAGAUUUCAGAAUCUUGUUUGUAAAAAUUAUGCAACGUAAGAUAAGGACACAGGAAUGAAAUGUAUCUUCAGUAUCCACAUUCACAGUCAUAUAUCUUCAUGAGUUUCCAAAAGAGAAGUAAAAAAAUAAAUGUUUUUUUCUUAACUUGUGCCCAUAAAUCAGUGAAUAAGAUGCUGCAGUGACUCGAUUGCAUAGGGCAGUGCGUAGCAGGACGUUUAGGAGAUAACACUUAGCACCUACCAGGACACUUCACAGCACAUCGACAGAGGAGAAGUGUAGAUCACAAGUGACACGCCCGCGACAGCAAAGAUGAUUCACAUUUACUGGUAGCUGAAAUGGAGAUGGUUGAAAUGGUCACCGUCCCAGCUGGGGGUCCCUGCGCUUCUCUCCCAGCACUUGCUACCCUCUUACAUUCUCAACAGAGGCAGCCAGUAGUAUGUACAGCAACUCCUGGUCUGUAACAGUUACAGUUUAUCACUCUGAAACUGAAGCGACUUCAGAAAUUUCAAGACACGGGGAUGAGUUCUGCCCUUUAUUUUCUAAUAGCUCUGCAGUGAAGGUAGAAAACAACUUUAGUGUGCAGAAUUGAUAGUGGGAACAUGUCUUCUUCUCCAUCUUCUUCUUCUCUGAAAGAAGAACGUGCAGGGGGAACAUUUUGGAAAGGUAAGGUGCAUUUGACAGUUUGAAACAGAGUUUGGUCCACAGUCAGAACAGAUAGGGAAGAAGGAACAGAGAUACACAGGCAGGCAGGGAAGAAAGGUGGUGGAGGAUUAUAAAGGGGGCAAGAAUGACAGUUUCACCUCUAGGUGAGCAAGUCUGAAGAGGAAAUAAUCUUAUUUUUGUCAUCUUAGGCAUUUGAGUCAUCAUUCAUCACAGAAAGGCUUCAACAAGAAAGCACUAUAUUGACUCUGGCGUGCAUUUUGGUUUUCCCAGUGAGGAGCAUAGAGGGAGGUAGACUUCCUCACUCAUUAAAAGAGGAGGAGAAUGACAUCAGAAUCUCCGGAGAUACUCCUGGAGAGAGCAUCGCUGUAAUAUCUGCUACAUCUGAAUGACUUCAGUUCUUCCCACCUUCUGGGCAGUGCAGCAGCCCUCAGUACAUUACAGACCUGCACAGGAUUGCUAUCUGAACACUGCGAGUCUCUUCCGUCCAGAUGCCCAACUCUGUCCAGCUUUUGCAUUUACCCGUUCAGGCCUCCUGGCAUAAGGAAGAAGUGAGCCACAGCCACGGGAUGGUGCAGCACCUGAGAGCUAUCAGACGUUCCCAUCUCUGUCUCAGGACCUGCCAGUACUUGUUCCUCAGAAAAUGAGCUCUGGGUUAUAUUUAGACAUAUGUGCAACAAGGCAAGGUAACACGGCAGUUGUUCUUCUCAAGCAAUUUUGUUAGGAAGCAUUAGCAUGAGUGCUAACCACACAAACGUGGUUAAUGGGCUGCUCUACCUCCAAAGUAGAGCGCCCUGAUCAGUUCUUUGCAGGCAGGUGGAGGAACAGCAGUGGGUGCGCCUGAGCAGUUCGGCCCCUCUCUUUCCUCCAACAACAAUUUCCAGAGAGAGUUAGGUGAAGGUCCUUAUGUGCUGCUUUCCCAUGUACAUGUUCCCCGGGUAUGAGGUACAAAUACUCCCUGCAAUGGUGAUUACACUCCUAUUACAAUGUUACGCCCAUGUCUAACUUGCCCUCAGUGACUUCAUCCUUAUGCAAGUUACAAAAGUAAUAACUCUUGUGAACAAACCAGCCAGCACAGUUUAACAGCUUUUAACCCUUAGCUAAGCAAUCUUAAAGUGGUACCUACAGAACUACAAACUCGUUGCAGUUCUUUGCCUACCUAAUAUCAACAUUGCUGCUGAUGUUGUUAAGAUUCCUAAAUGUAAUGAGGCCAUCGGGAGCUUUUUAAGUCAGUGUACAGCUAAGCAUCUGCAAUGGGCAGGACAAGGAGGGUAGGGCAGUGGGUGACUGUCCCUGCAGAUUCAGCUUCCUGGAAUGUUGCACACUCCUCCCUGUACUCUUGGCUAAAGGAUGGGGCACUUAUUGAGGCCUCCCUUCAUCAUCAUCAUCAUGCUGUGUCCUUUUGGAACUGAAAACUUACAGUCCAAAUAGAUGCAGAUAUGGCAGUAGAAGUACUGGGAAAAAUGUCCUUCACGGAGAAGGGAAAAUAAGCAGCAAAAAUGCUGGAAUCAAAGGUUUUCCCUGAUGCAAGAGGGAGAAAAGAUGCACUAUGGUCCAUACCAUAGAGGACCCCCACACACGCUUUUGACCACGUUAACACAUUUUUACUUUUCUCUCAGACAGUCAAGGAGAUGUCGUAUCAGUCAGCUACCAAAGAACAGAAUUAUAAUUGUCUUAAAGUACUUCGGUCUUCUAAAACUAAACUAAAUCGUUUGACAAAGUGUCUUCUGGACCACCCUGGCAUGCUUUGAAUGUAGCCACCAUCCAGAGGCUGAGAACAUGAGGCCUAGAGGCAAGCUGUCUGCGACAGGUAAGCAAGACUAAGAGAAGCCUGAACAAUUGUGGCUUCUCCCAAAAGUCCUUUCCACGUGGACUGACAGUGCCUCUCUUCCACCCACAUUUCAUUAUCAGCGAAUGCCACCAAGAAAAUGUGCCACCCACUGUCCCUUCAGAGCAGUCACUCCAGCAGCACUGAAGCCAGACAGCUCUGAGCAGCAAGCAGCCCACACAAAGCAAUGCUGAGCAACCCGCCCUUCCACCCCACAACCCCCUGGCAUUUCUGCACACUUUCUGCUCUCCACCCUUUUCUAUCUGUGUUUCUGUCCUCCCUGUGGGUGCUGAAACUGCUGCACUGGUGCUAGUAGGGUACAACACGACCUAGAUGCUCCCCCACCUCCAUCCAGAGUCAUGUUUGACAAGUCAAGGGGACUUGAGACUAUACAUGCAUACAGAGCAGGUCCAUAGUCCACAAGACAUGGCUUAGUGGGCAUGGUGGUGAUGGACUGAUGGUUGGACUAGAUGAUCUCAGUGGCUUUUUCCAACCAUAAUGAUUCUAUGAUUUUGUGAUCUCUCUGGCUGGAGCCACCCCACAUGCUGAUGAGGCAAGGCAUGGGGUAUGGUUUUUUGUCACUUUUUUCUUUUUUGUCAUGCAGUCAGUGACAGUGGCACCAAAACACAACGCAGGUUGGGCACUCGCCACCACUGAGGCCAAAGUGCUGUCAUACACUGUAGUUUACUGAGAAGUGAGGGGGUCAAACAGGUCCUGGCUCCAGAUGAGGCUUUGUAUCACCAUUCCAGGGCAGGAGUAUCACCAGGUAGCGCCUAGAUGCCAGCAACAUAGGCUGGCUUUCUUCCCUUAGAAAUCAGCUACAUAGUUUUGAAGAGGUAUUCAGUGCUGUGCCCUAGCUUAUGUUUUUACAGCAUGUGCUUCCCAGCUGUGCAAGCUAUGUGCUGCUGUCAGAAAGGCACUAUCCCUGGUUAGGAGGUCACCCAGUCUACCAGGGAUACAAGUAUGGAGGGCUGGAGCUUCUAUAUCCCCACAGCUAGCAAAUGAGAGCAGCCACUCAGCACUUCUGCUGUCAGACUGUUAGGAACUCAGGAAUAGGGCAGCAUACAUGGGUAGGGAUAUGUGCAGAGCGUGGGCAUGUUUGAGGCCCACUGUGUUGUGAUUUCAUAUACCUUGCCUGCAACAUACUGUAUGCACACUAAUUUGAAAGAGUUGAACAUGUUAGGCCUAAAUCUUCACCUUCCUGACACAGGGUUUUUUAGUGGGAUGUUUUGUUUUUCUUUCUCUUUUUAACACUUAAAAAAGCAAUGCAACUUUGGUUGAUUUAUGCAUGAAAUGAGGAGCAGAAUAACAAGCCUCGCUUGUGUGCUGUCUGAGCUUAGAAGUCAGCAACACUUCACAUUUGACUUAAGGAGCAGUAAACAGGACCGGCAUCGAGCAGGUUGGAGCAGAAAUCAGCCAUGUCCUGCUGUAUGGAGGCAGCCAGCAAAGAGAAGCCAGAUGGGUUUUUGGAUUUACCCAGAUUGCAGUGGGAGGCACCUGAAAGGAAGGAAAUAUAGUCACAGCAUCACACAGCUGUUGAGAAGAGGGUCUGCUGAUCAUCCGAGUAAUUAUGAAGUUAAGUGUUCAGAUUUAAUGCACGUUCAUUUAGAUAAGCAUCUUCUGGUGGGAGGAGGUAGGGAUGGGGAGGUGCAGGAAGAGAGAGAAAGAAAAAAAGACAAAAAUGAUUUAAGCUAAAUAGUGAUAGCAAAACCUAAGUGGAGGAAGAUGUUUAGUUGCUGCUUGUUCUAUUAAUUCUUUAGAGGAAAGAGGCCUUGGCAUUCUUGGGUGCAUGGAAAGGAUUGCAAGGGUUCCUGCUGUAAGCUGCAUCACUGCGUGAGGCCAGAAAUGUUUGUUUGCAUUUGGCACUAAGUUAUUGCCUGAUGCUGAGGGAGACCCUUGCUCGUGCUCCUUCACCUCAGUACUGCGGACUCACAAGAAACAGGGGUAUAACACAGGGCUUAAUGGUAGAACACGACUCUGCAGUUGGUGGCCUCAGCCUGAAUCCCGAGUGGGAGAAAUGAAAGGGGAAGGUGAAUUAAGGCAGCCUUGAGAUUCUUCUGCCCUUUGUCGUGGAUUCUGGACAGAGACUUAGGAUCGCAGCACUGUAAGAGCUGAGUCACUCACAUGAAACUUUCCUCUGAGUCAAUAUCCUAUUGGUGACAGAGACGGUGAAAAAAAAGUACAGUAACUGAUAUCUCAUCAAAACGAUCCCUUAGCUCAGGGAUCCCCCCCCCCCCCUUAGACAGGGGCUGUCUUUGGAUUGGAGACCCUCAAGUGGAUUUUUUUCCCACUUUCUUUGACUACUUUCUCUGGGUAUAGCAUCUCUCAUUUCUUAUGCUUUAGGAUGUGAUUUAGAAAGUCAAAUAACAAAAGGCUAAGGAACAGCAAUGGUGAGGGUGGGAGAUGGGCAAAUGGGAGAUUGGUAUGUAUAUACUGUAUGGAGUAUAUCCCUUCAAUCAAGGAGGGUCCUAAUUAUAUGCAUUUAAGUGU